UUAAACUUGAAUUCUAGAUAAACAAUAAAUAAUGUUUUGAUUUAAGUAUAUCCCAUACAAUAUUUGGGACAUACUCCUGCUAAAAAAUUAUUUUCUGUUUAUCUGAAAUUCAAAUACAACUGGAU
RNAcentral lists this microRNA precursor (125 nucleotides) under Nomascus leucogenys (northern white-cheeked gibbon). Its description in RNAcentral is "miRNA (ENSNLEG00000032356.1)". Lineage: Eukaryota; Metazoa; Chordata; Mammalia; Primates; Hylobatidae. The record is from RNAcentral.